This 465-nucleotide ribosomal RNA is filed under the name uncultured bacterium. Its description in RNAcentral is "partial 16S ribosomal RNA". It matches the Rfam family "Bacterial small subunit ribosomal RNA", at positions 338 to 795 of the family's 1533-position model. The record is from RNAcentral.
CCUACGGGUGGCAGCAGUGGGGAAUAUUGCGCAAUGGGCGAAAGCCUGACGCAGCGACGCAGCGUGAGGGAUGAAGGUCUUCGGAUCGUAAACCUCUGUCAGCAGGGAAGAACGGUCACUGUGCUAAUCAGCAGUGAAUUGACGGUACCUGCAAAGGAAGCACCGGCUAACUCCGUGCCAGCAGCCGCGGUAAUACGGAGGGUGCGAGCGUUAAUCGGUAUUAUUGGGCGUAAAGCGCGCGUAGGCGGUAUGUCAGGUCAAAGGUGAAAGCCCCGCGCUCAACGUGGGAACUGCCUUUGAAACUGGCAGACUUGAGUAUGUGAGAGGAGAGUGGAAUUCCAGGUGUAGGGGUGAAAUCCGUAGAUAUCUGGAGGAACAUCAGUGGCGAAGGCGACUAUCUGGCACGUAACUGACGCUGAGGAGCGAAAGCGUGGGUAGCAAACAGGAUUAGAUACCCGUGUAGUC